Molecule: unclassified non-coding RNA, 166 nt
Filed under: soil metagenome
Description: partial contains 5.8S ribosomal RNA, internal transcribed spacer 2, and large subunit ribosomal RNA
Source: RNAcentral
AACAAGGCGUACCUGCGGACCUGCGGAGGGAUCAUUAAUAAAUGUUACUUCGGUAACUUAAUUAAUCCCUAACACCUGUGCAUCUUGUCGCUCCGGCGUCAUUUUAUAAACAUCAGUGUAAUGAAUGUAAAGUAUUAUAACAAAUACAACUUUUAACAAUGGAUCU